ACCGUCGUUUCUUUGGCGGGCCGCCGGGCCCUGCUCGGCCGCCGGCCCCGGCUGGCGCGUGCCCGCCAGAGGCCCUUCAAACUCUGAAUGUUAGUGUCGUCUGAGUACUAUACAAUAGUUAAAACUUUCAACAACGGAUCUCUUGGUUCUGGCAUCGAUGAAGAACGCAGCGAAAUGCGAUAAGUAAUGCGAAUUGCAGAAUUCAGUGAGUCAUCGAAUCUUUGAACGCACAUUGCGCCCUGUGGUAUUCCGCAGGGCAUGCCUGUUCGAGCGUCAUUUCAACCCUCAAGCCCUGCUUGGUGUUGGGCCCUGCCCGUUGCGGCCGGCCCUAAAGUCAGUGGCGGCGCCGUCUGGCUCUAAGCGUAGUACAUCUCUCGCUCUAGGGCCCCGCGGUGGCUUGCCAGCAACCCCAACUCCUAUGGUUGACCUCGGAUCAGGUAGGGAUACCCGCU
Molecule: ribosomal RNA, 452 nt
Filed under: Oidiodendron sp. GK-2010
Lineage: Eukaryota; Fungi; Ascomycota; Leotiomycetes; Myxotrichaceae
Description: eukaryotic LSU rRNA
Rfam family: 5.8S ribosomal RNA (bases 123-276)
Source: RNAcentral